RNAcentral lists this ribosomal RNA (1164 nucleotides) under Salmonella enterica. Its description in RNAcentral is "partial 23S ribosomal RNA". It matches the Rfam family "Bacterial large subunit ribosomal RNA", at positions 994 to 2141 of the family's 2925-position model. Lineage: Bacteria; Pseudomonadati; Pseudomonadota; Gammaproteobacteria; Enterobacterales; Enterobacteriaceae. The record is from RNAcentral. RNAcentral also lists the same sequence under 3 other names.
GGUGCUAACGUCCGUCGUGAAGAGGGAAACAACCCAGACCGCCAGCUAAGGUCCCAAAGUCAUGGUUAAGUGGGAAACGAUGUGGGAAGGCCCAGACAGCCAGGAUGUUGGCUUAGAAGCAGCCAUCAUUUAAAGAAAGCGUAAUAGCUCACUGGUCGAGUCGGCCUGCGCGGAAGAUGUAACGGGGCUAAACCAUGCACCGAAGCUGCGGCAGCGACACUGUGUGUUGUUGGGUAGGGGAGCGUUCUGUAAGCCUGUGAAGGUGUGUCGUGAGGCAUGCUGGAGGUAUCAGAAGUGCGAAUGCUGACAUAAGUAACGAUAAAGCGGGUGAAAAGCCCGCUCGCCGGAAGACCAAGGGUUCCUGUCCAACGUUAAUCGGGGCAGGGUGAGUCGACCCCUAAGGCGAGGCCGAAAGGCGUAGUCGAUGGGAAACGGGUUAAUAUUCCCGUACUUGGUGUUACUGCGAAGGGGGGACGGAGAAGGCUAUGUUGGCCGGGCGACGGUUGUCCCGGUUUAAGCGUGUAGGUGUGUGUUCCAGGUAAAUCCGGUUCACUUUAACACUGAGGCGUGACGACGAGGCACUACGGUGCUGAAGCAACAAAUGCCCUGCUUCCAGGAAAAGCCUCUAAGCAUCAGGUAACAUCAAAUCGUACCCCAAACCGACACAGGUGGUCAGGUAGAGAAUACCAAGGCGCUUGAGAGAACUCGGGUGAAGGAACUAGGCAAAAUGGUGCCGUAACUUCGGGAGAAGGCACGCUGACACGUAGGUGAAGUGAUUUACUCAUGGAGCUGAAGUCAGUCGAAGAUACCAGCUGGCUGCAACUGUUUAUUAAAAACACAGCACUGUGCAAACACGAAAGUGGACGUAUACGGUGUGACGCCUGCCCGGUGCCGGAAGGUUAAUUGAUGGGGUCAGCGCAAGCGAAGCUCCUGAUCGAAGCCCCGGUAAACGGCGGCCGUAACUAUAACGGUCCUAAGGUAGCGAAAUUCCUUGUCGGGUAAGUUCCGACCUGCACGAAUGGCGUAAUGAUGGCCAGGCUGUCUCCACCCGAGACUCAGUGAAAUUGAACUCGCUGUGAAGAUGCAGUGUACCCGCGGCAAGACGGAAAGACCCCGUGAACCUUUACUAUAGCUUGACACUGAACAUUGAGCCUUGAUGUGUAG